CCCACCUGAACGCGCAGCGGUGCCAGAGCGCGCAGUGUCAUGAUAAUGCCCGCGCAAUACUUCCUGAGGUGCGCGAGGCUUGAUCCCUAAAAGCUUCGAAAUAAAUUAUUUUUCCCCUUUAAAUUAUGUUAAUGACAUUACAAGAAAUCCCACAAAUAUUACCACAGAGUGGCCGAGAUUUCAAAGAAAAACGGGACAUAAAGUAGAGAGUUUCAGGUGGAGAAAGCCAGAGAAAAGGAGAAGGGAUGAGAGGUCACAGUCCUUUUGUCCAGGAGAGGAAAGGAGAUGGAAUGGGUCAUAAACCUACACCCUGCUGUGGAUACAAAGAGUGCAGUUUGCUGUGUGCAGCGAGCCUAAAAACAGCCGGUUUGAAAAAUGACAGCAAAAACCACUAAUGAUGAAGGAGGGCAAGAUGAGAGAUGGCUAACGGUGGUCAAGUCACGAAAAUGAGGAUGGGAGCAAGGUAAAAGAGGACCGGCCAGUUAUAUAGCAAAAAACAGAUGGGAGACAGGGAGAAUUGAGUCAGCGGAGUUGGCGAUGGCAGUCGAGGGCAGGUCUUCAUUGGUUACACGCCGCACACAGUAUUAGAUCCGUGGGGCCGAAUCAGGGUACCAGGGACUGAGAGCCACAGCAUUAUACACUCAAACACACACACUGGCAUGUAGUCCAGGAAAAUCUUUCUUUUGAUCUUAUAAUCAGGGACAGGGAAAGGCUAAGUAUGGAGAGGAUUAGCUUUGUCGCAGAGAUUUCAGUAUGAGUGAGCAAAAAUGUUCUCUUUGUAACUAAAGGAGGAGGGAUCUAAUAUGCCAGUGUAACACAAACCCUGUGUGUGGCUCUCAAGACUUAACAAAGAUCGUGAGCUGUAGUGCUGCCGCCAUCUAGAGGACAUCUGACGUGCUUUCACCUUGAAGGAUUAGUUCCUGAUAAUUUACUCACACCCGUGACAUCCAAGAUGUUCGUUCUUCAUUCGAAAAGAAAGUAAUUUUUCUCCAUAUAGUGGACUUCACUGGGGUUCAACGGCUUGAAGGUCCAAAUGUC
Molecule: long non-coding RNA, 1038 nt
Organism: Megalobrama amblycephala (Wuchang bream)
Lineage: Eukaryota; Metazoa; Chordata; Actinopteri; Cypriniformes; Xenocyprididae
Exons: 5
Source: RefSeq, a predicted model, not a curated record